UCGCUCUUCAACGAGGAAUCCCUAGUAAGCACAAGUCACCAGCUUGUGCUGAUUACGUCCCUGCCCUUUGUACACACCGCCCGUCGCUACUACCGAUUGAAUGGCUUAGUGAGGCCCUCGGAUCGACUUUCUGAGACUGGCAACAGUCUCUGAUUGUUGAGAAGUUGGUCAAACUUGGUCAUUUAGAGGAAGUAAAAGUCGUAACAAGGUUUCCGUAGGUGAACCUGCGGAAGGAUCAUUAAUGAUUUGGCGAACCUAACGUUAGUUAGGUUUUGCGAUCACUUAUUUAAAACCCAACUCUUAAAUGUAUAAUUUAUGUAUUUCUUGAUAAGAAAAAUAAAGAUCACUUUCAACAACGGAUCUCUUGGCUCUCGCAUCGAUGAAGAACGUAGCGAAGUGCGAUAAGUAAUGUGAAUUGCAGAAUUCCGUGAAUCAUCGAAUCUUUGAACGCAAAUUGCACUUUCUGGUAUUCCGGAAAGUAUGCCUGCUUGAGAGUCAGUUAAAUAAAAAUCGGUGUUGUUGCUGCUAUUAGUGGUGAUGCAUCGGAAUUGAGUUGUUCUUUGCCCUUUGGUUAAGUGACUUAAAAUUUGUACGAUUUUUGAACGUAUUUAAAUUAUUUACGUACGUUCAUAAUAUCAUAUAUUAGGUGCGGUCAUUCUUAUGAUUUCGCGCCUAUAAUUUUUUUCAUUAUUUGACCUCAAAUCAGGUAAGAAUACCCGCUGAACUUAAGCAUAUCAAUAAGCGGAGGAAAAGAAAAUAACAAUGAUUCCCUUAGUAACGGCGAGUGAAGGGGGAUAAGCUCAAAUUUAAAUCUGCUAGGUUUUACCUAUCAGAGUUGUAAUUUGAAGAAGCGUUUUCCGCGUCUCGGUUGACCCAAUCCUUUGGGAUAUGGUAUCAUGGAGGGUGAGAAUCCCGUCCGGUUGACUUUGUGACGCUUUACGAUACGUUUUCAAAGAGUCGAGUUGUUUGGGAUUGCAGCUCAAAAAUGGGAGGUAAAUUUCUCCUAAGGCUAAAUAUUGGCGAGAGACCGAUAGCGAACAAGUACCGUGAGGGAAAGAUGAAAAGUACUUUGAAAAGAGAGUUAAAUAGUACGUGAAAUUGUUGAAAGGGAAACGAUUGAAGCCAGUCGUACUCAUGGGUAAUCAACCUUUCUGGCGCGAUUAUGUGGGCGUGUUGGAGCCUAAUCGGCCCUCGCGUUUUUAUAUUCGUUCCCCUUGGGUGUACUUGCCCGUGCGGUAGGUUAACAUCAAUUUCGGACGUCAUAAAAUGACGGGAGGAAUGUAGCUUUGGUCUCGUACUGAAGUGUUAUAGCCUCUGGUAGAUGUGACGUCUGGGAUUGAGGAUUGCAACGGAUACCUUUCGGGGCUACCUGUCUGGCCUCUGAUGGUUGCUUUGGUGUCGAAAGCUUGCUUACGGUCAUCAAAGUUGAUUGUCAAAAGGUUAGAACAGGUUAAAUUCGUUAAGGAUGUUGACGUAAUGGCUUUAAACGACCCGUCUUGAAACACGGACCAAGGAGUCUAACAUAUAUGCGAGUGUU
Molecule: ribosomal RNA, 1537 nt
Filed under: uncultured Glomus
Lineage: Eukaryota; Fungi; Glomeromycota; Glomeromycetes; Glomerales; Glomeraceae
Description: eukaryotic LSU rRNA
Rfam family: Eukaryotic large subunit ribosomal RNA (bases 693-1537)
Source: RNAcentral